This is a long non-coding RNA of Nelumbo nucifera (sacred lotus), 392 nucleotides long. RefSeq lists it as uncharacterized. Lineage: Eukaryota; Viridiplantae; Streptophyta; Magnoliopsida; Proteales; Nelumbonaceae. The record is from RefSeq and is a predicted model, not a curated record.
UUGGAUAAUCAUUUCUUGUUGCAGGAUUCAUUCUUCCCAUAAUGAAAUUUGGGUCUCUACAAAAAACUGAACAUAUUUUGUGGCAUGAAAAUUUUUCGUGCGCCAUCUUACCAAUUCUUUUCUCGUUUGAGUUUGAAACUCUGAGUCCUCUCGACUGAAGUCACUUAACCCUCGUCCCUCUCCCUUUGUGUGUGUGUGUGCAAGGUUGACCACCAAUAUCAGCCCUAUAACCAUUAAGAGCAAGCAACAUCAAUUAAGCCAUGAGCAGAGCAUCCCUUUGAUGUUGGACAAUAUAGUUUGAUAAUCCGAGCUCACAUUAUUGAAGAUCCGAGCAUUCCUUUAUCCUUUCCCUCCAAAUACACCAAGGCCCUGUUUGCUUUUCGGUAAGUUAU